This is a long non-coding RNA of Equus caballus (horse), 2268 nucleotides long. The record is from Ensembl. NCBI's taxonomy places the organism in Eukaryota, Metazoa, Chordata, Mammalia, Perissodactyla, Equidae.
AUAUCCCCAGAAGCCUGGUAGGAGAGGAGUGAGCAGACAGAUUAGAUAAGAGGUCGGGAAGGGCAAGGCAAGUCCCUCUAAGCUGCCUCUGUUAUAGGAGGGGACAGUGGGACAAGGGGGAAGCAAGAGCAAUAUAAAUGGCAGGCGCUGUUUCACCACCGAAAAUAUCUUUCGGGACUUCAGAGGAUAGUCUGAGGGGACCCAUUUCACAGAUGUGGAAGCUGAGGUGCAGCGAAGUUAACCGUCUUGCUCAAAAGCAACCAGCUUUGGUGGGCAGGACGUGAAAGCGGCUACCUCCGUCACUGAAGUCCACACUAGUCCACUAAACGAGGCAUUUCUAUCUCUGAGAGAGAGAAUGGCACAAAAAUAAGUGAGAUAGGUGGGUCUCUGAGAUGUUUUAGAAUCCGCUGCAUUUGCCAGAGCCCUAAAUUAAAAAUUUGCCCAUUUCUGGGGACGCAGUUUUUAGCUCGCGUCAUGUCCCAGUUAAUUCAGGGCCGACGGAUCUGUGUGUUGAUUUGGCAAAGCUUAGUCUUUCCCCGAGCGGCACACACCCCCACCUUGUUCCGGCCACAUUCACCUGCUCUUUGCCGCUCCCUGUGCAGUGAGCGAGGUUAGGGGUGAAGAUGCUCUAAGGACACUAGGCAUUCCCAUCAUGUCCCUCCAACGUUGGACUGGAAUGAAGGGGAGGAGGGAAGAUGGAGUGGGCACCUCGUGCUCCUCGGAAGAGAUGCUCUAUGAGUUUAUACAGGGAAGCGAUUCUUCACCUCCUGAAAUGGCAUACAGUCGUUAGGCAAAAUGUUACUUACAUGCUCUGAUUUUCUGGGAGAGGUUUUUUCCUCAAAUUCUCGAAGGGAUCUGUAGGGCAAAAGCGGUUAAAAACCCACUGUCACAGGGUCUCUGAAUCAACUGUUAGGACAUUUAUCUCCGUUCAGUCUUCCUUUCAUUGAACACAUACUUGUUGACAUCCUACUAUGGCGAAUCUUGGUCAGGUGCAAGGACUGUGAUGGGGAGCCAGACUGAUGCUCCCUCUGUCAUGGAGCUAGUCUUUGAGUGAGGGACACAGCAUUAAACGACUCAUGUGGUGGCUCAUUCAUACGAUGGUGUUAAGGGCUUCAAAAAACAAGGAUGGAGUGCAGAGAAGAUCUGUUUCCUGGUCUAGUCUGGUGAGGAAUGGAUUCCUUGAGGCGGUGAUAUUCAAGCAGAGCUCUGAAGCGUGAGUAGUUAGGAGUAAACUGGAGUAAAGAGUGUUGUAAAUUCUGGCUACUCAAAGUGUGGUCUUCAGACCAGCAGCAUCAGCAUCACCUGGGAGUUUGUUAGAAAUGCAAACGCUCAAGCCUCAACACAGAUGUAGUAAAUAAGUAUUCGAACUUUUUAACAAGAUCCCCGGGUGAUUUCUAUUUGCAUUGAAGCUUGAGAAGUGCCGCUCUGAAGGGAAGGAAGAGCGUCUGAGGAGCUGUAAGAGGAUCGGAUGUCCCUGGGACUUAGAAAGAGGCGGUGGUAAUGGUAGAGAUGAGGCUGAGAGGAGCAGCGGCAGACCACCUCAGAUUCUUGUAGCCGUGUUAAGCAAAAAAGAAAUAUUCGAGGGCAAAUAAAUGAUUAUGCUUUUGCCCUGAAAUAGGAGCUGAAGAUGUCACAAUGAAUAGGAAGCGAUCUAUAGCCACAGGGAGCUCAAAAUCGCUUGGGGGAAAACUGAGACUCAAACAGGUGAUCAUGAUAGAUUGAUAAGCAUGAAGACUGAAGAAGGAGAGGAGGCUGUAGGAAUGGACAGGAGAUGGAGAACACAGAAUGCAGGGAGCGAGGGCAAUGCCUCGCGGAGGAAGGGAUGUCUGAGCUGAUCCUGAAGAAUGAGAUGGAGUCAGCUAGCUCAAGAAGAGGGCGGUGAACACAACCGACCCUAAGAGGCAUGUUCAACCUCCAGAACCAAAAAGGGUUAGAUAUCUAGAAUAUACAAAGAACUCCUGUAAAUUAUGAAGACAGGAAACCCAAUGAAAAAAUGCAAAAACCAAAACAAAACCCAUGAACAGAUGAUUCAGAUAUGGAGAAACCUGAAUUGCUCUAUGAUGUAGGAAGAGAUGCUCAAACUUUAAUAACUAAAGAAAUUCAACUUAAAGCAAUGAGAUGCCAGCUAUCCAUCAGCAUGGCAAAAUAUUAGAUGGGUGGCAAAUGCCAAGAACAUGGAGCCGGGUCUCUCCUUCCUUCCUGGUGGGUGUGUAAACUAGCAAACCAUUCAAAAAAUCUAUCUGGCUGGGUUUGGUGAACUUAGGCAUG